Molecule: ribosomal RNA, 501 nt
Filed under: uncultured bacterium
Lineage: Bacteria
Description: bacterial SSU rRNA
Rfam family: Bacterial small subunit ribosomal RNA
Source: RNAcentral
AAUGAACGCUGGCGGCGUGGAUUAGGCAUGCAAGUCGAACGCGAAAGUUCCCUUCGGGGAGCGAGUAGAGUGGCGAAAGGGUGAGUAAUGCUUGGAUGACCUGCCCUCGAGACGGGGACAACAGUUCGAAAGGACUGCUAAUACCCGAUAGUCCGGUUUAGAUGCGUCUAGAUCGGUAAAUGGUGCUUCCGCUCGAGGAGGGGUUCAAGUCCUAUCAGCUUGUUGGUGAGGUAACGGCUCACCAAGGCGAUGACGGGUAGCCGGACUGAGAGGUUGGCCGGCCACAUGGGAACUGAGAUACGGGCCAGACUCCUACGGGAGGCAGCAGUGAGGAAUAUUGCGCAAUGGGCGAAAGCCUGACGCAGCGACGCCGCGUGGGGGAUGAAGGUUUUCGGAUUGUAAACCCCUUUCAUGAGGAAAGAUAAAGUGGGUAACCACUUAGACGGUACCUCAAGAAGAAGCCACGGCUAACUUCGUGCCAGCAGCCGCGGUAAUGUGACU